ACAACCUGUGCAAUGAGUGGUUUGGGUGAGGAGUGAGGAAGGGGAAAACCAUGGGCAGCAGCCCACCCUGGGGUCAGAGGAGAGGAUCUUGGUGGGAACAUGCAAUGGGAUGCUUGCCAGUGCACAGGAUGGGAAGCACCUGUGGUGUAGCUGACCCACCUACAGCAGGGACAGUAAAGCAACGACACGAUGGAGGACAGCUGCAGGGGUGAUGCAGCAGCUGGCUUUGAGCCACAAAUCCACUUUUCCUCUAGGUCUUGGCUCCAAUGCUAGUAUCUCUGGAAAGCAACAUUUCAGAUUGUCCUGGUUUCAGUUAGAACAGAAUUUUCUUCCUAGUAGCUGGUGGAAUGCUGUGUUUUGGCUUGGGAUGAGAAGAGUGCUGAUAACACCCCGAUGUUGUAACAUGGAGACUUACAGCCAAACUACAUCCCCCUUCAUUCAAUUUUCUGUAGAAUUGCUGCUAUCACUUUCAGAAAAAGGGAUCUCCAGUUCCUCCAGCAAGCCCUCAGGAGGAGCAGCAGGGCCCAUGCUGGCCAUCAUGUUGGCACGUGUUGGCUUGCGCCUUCAGCCAGAACCGGCAGUGAACAGGUUAAGCACCAGUGAGCCUAAAAGGCUGCAUUUUGAGGGGUGGGUUUGGGGUAACCUGAGCUAAGGAAGCGAUGUUAACAAUAUAAGAAGAGGAAGUGCUGGCCGUUCGUUUGUUUGUUUAUUGUUUCAGCAGUUUGUACUGUGUGUCUCGUGUGCUAUCUUCAUCCCUCAGUCUCCCAGCCGGUUCAUUAUACACGGGAAGCGGCGCUUCCUGCCAGCGACCUCCUGGGUCCCGUCCCAUUGUUAGCAGAGCUGACACAGAGCGCUGGAGGCAGCAGAAAGGGCUGCUUGCUUGUGUGCCUGUGAGAAACGCUCCAGAGACCUCCGUUAGUUAAUAAAACAGAUGGUUUUAUUGGCAUAGGCAAAUUUCAGCACUAGUGAUGCAUUUAAUAGGGUUCAUCCAAAGAAAAUCCCAAUAAAAAUAAAGCGAGGAGUUUAGAUCAUUGGGGCCAGGGGGAUAAAUAUAGGAGAGACAAGAGGAUGAUCCGUACCUCCGGCACCACCAGCAGCUCUUCUGUGUCUCCACAGCCUUUAGCAAGGAGGGUUACUCAACCUCUCCUUCUCUACUAAGACUGAUUAGUCAGAAGGAGAGAAGGUCCUUGUCUCCAACAGCCAGGCUCAGCUGGCCUAAAUCUCACCACAAUCCCUGUGCCAAGCAAGAUCUUUAAGUUCCCUGACUUAGGGCACCUGGAUGGUCUUCAAAGCCUUGGUACUCUCCCUUCAGCUGGUACAGGGACUUAUGUGGAAAUGACUCUGACUCUGAGAACCCUAAAACCAUCAAAACCUUAUUUUCUGAAGCCCCAGUGCCCUCUGCACCCCCAAUUUUUUCCAUUCUAUGCUUCUUUAGUGAUCACUCUCUAACACCUUGCAAAAGGAGUGUGCUUCCCUCAGAUGCUGUAAGAACACUUCAGUAUUUAUUUAUUUUUUAAAGAACACUUUGUACAAUCCCUAAGCGAGGCCUGAAGCAAUGCAAACAAUAACAAACAGCAAUGGCUCAAGCUGCAGAGCUGGGAUCCAGAUGUGCGCCUGAACUUCCCUAAAGUUUGAGGGUGUUUUGAGCCUGUUGUGGGUCAAUCUCUGUGGAAAACUGAAGAUGAAGUGGGAGUAAAAGGGGGGGAAAAAAAAAAAAAAAAAAGUAGAACAUGGUUAACAAAACAUAUGGGGGAUACAUCAGCAUCUGUGUGCUUGGUAACUCCAGUCUCCUGAAGGUGUGUCCCCAGCCUCUGAAGAGCCAGGAGCUGUCAUUAGCUGGGAACAAAAGGAUUUUUGUUCACUGGCAUCGGUAAAGGUAAAGCAAUCUGUUUUGAAGCACAGCUUUAAAGCAUGUAUUGCCACUUUGUUUAUAAAGAUCCUAGGGGAAAGUGAGCUUUGCUUUAAGUCACGUACUUUUUUUCACUUUGUCACUGUAUUUUUACUUCCACAUGUCCUAUGUAACUCCACCAAAAACACCUUAAAAAUCUCCUUGGAAGUUGUGUACCAUUCAUGCCACUACCAUGGCAUCUAGAGGCCAAAAUUCACUCAUCUGGGGUUUUAGAGAAAAGUUAAAUUGCAGUUCCUGGGCUUUCUCUUCUGAGGGAGAUGCCGUUUCCAGGGUAGAGCUGAUGCCUUGCCUGUGGGACAGGAAGCGGCCAGAGGAGUGCUGUCAUCGCUGAAAGUUUUCUUUCAUGAGGAAAUAUUAUUUACACAUGCCAUGUCCAAAUGACAACAGCGGCAAGGAGGACUGGCAAUCGAUCCUGCUUUAAAUAACUGUUUUCUAAGGCAGGGAGGAGCAUUUUUGCGGCCAUUUCCGUAACAAAAUGUUCCACUCACUUCUGGCCUAGCUAUGCAGCAUCUUGCUUGUGCAUUCCUAACAGCAGCCUUCCCUUCCCUUCCCUGCCCGCCUUUUGUCAACAAAUCUGUAAGAAAAGAAUUUCACCAUGUCAGGAAUUUUAUGCUUUUGAAAUAGAGCUCACACACUUGACACGACCCAGCCCCAGGACAGCACUGAGCUGUUGCCCAGAUGGGAGGUCAGUCAUGAUUUUUUACAGAUGUUUUGGAACAAAUCGUAGUGCUUAAAAGAAAAUAUAUAUUUAUAUCUCCAGACAGUUCAGAGCCAUGAUAAAUAAUUUAGAGAGUGAUUAGACAAAUCAUGCGAAAGAGCUUUAAGACUGGAUCUUUUGGCUCCCUGAUGAGGAUACAUUUAAAUUAAACAGCCAGUAAAUAACAAGCCAAAGACUAUCAUGCCACUGGAUAGCGAAAGUAGUUAAGGAGCUGGAUUGAAAUGAUGAGUGGAUAUUGAGUGCCUGCUGUCAUUUCCCUUUCCGUCUUUUGGUGACGAGGAAGAAAAAACAGUAAAGAAUGAGCAGGGUCCCAGCGUUGUUCAUCUCCUCUUUCCUUGUGAAGAAACAGAAGGAAAGCAGAAAUUAUUCACUUCCCUCUCCUCCUCCCCCGGGAGAAAGAGGGAGUAAGACACACAGGAUGCAAGUCUUGCUUUGGGGAAUACAGAGCCGGUCCUGGGCUGUUGGAGUAACAACCUGCAAGAGCAGAGGAACAGCAGAGGGAUACCCCCCUAUAAAUGAUGUCUUUUGCCUUGUUUCUGUUAGCUUGCAUUUUUAAGUAUUUUAAAUAAUUACAAAAAGCUGUGAUACCAACUCUUCCAAACGUAUUGUGGCAAGUGAAUUACUUAAAGAGCUGACUCUUCUCCAGAGUUCCUUUGGAAAUUAAUUGGAAAUUAAUUUCUGCCGCAAUUUUCAAAUACUCCCCUUCCAAGUCAAGCCCGGAGGGAGAAGAGGCCACCCAUCUGCCAAAAGACUAAGGGAAGUCGUGCACUAGUUUCGGUAGAGCAAACUAAAAGCUCAAAGUAACCUGGACCUAAUGGAUGGGAAGGCUAACCGGCAAACACUCUGGAUUCAGUAUCAGCUGGCAGAAUUCCUACAUUUCUACUCUGCACCAUGAGGCAAGCCCACUGCUUAAAUCAGUGCAUCAUUAAGGAUGCUGGAUUAGGCUCAACAUAUUAGAAGUUUCCAGCUGCCACUGCAAAGGUGAAUGCACAACUGAGGCGAUGCUCAGUAUCCUGGAAAAAUUCUCUAUAACUAUAUAAAAGCUACCAAGUGACGUCUGACUUACAAGGGCUUAUGCUUAGGACACCAGCUGCGUCCUGGUGACUACAGCUAAUUUCGGCAAUGGGACAGGGGAGCAGAGUGUCUAUGGAAUUUGAGGCAGGAUAUAGAUUGUAAACAUUGUUUCCCCGAGAUCUUGCUGUGCGUUGCUCAAAAUUGUUUUCAAAGGCAGCUCAAAUUAACCCUCCACUCACCUCCUCCAAGGCUGGAUCCAGCAAUGUUUAACAUAAAAAUAACAAAGUCUUCUCUGACCGGAGACCAGAGCCCAUGCUCCUUCUCUCCCUUUCUCUAAGAUAUCUCCUUAACAGUACAACUAUGUUGGGGCCUUUCCCGAGCCAAAGUGUAAUAACCAUCCCUUUAUAAUGCCCAGUGGCUGUGUACGCGUGCCACACAGGACAGAGCCUGGUUAAUUAAGAAAUUCUCUCGGACUGCCUGCUAUACCAGGUGAGCAGACAGCCAAUAAAGAAAAGCACUGUCCAUUCAGCCCCUGCCAGCUUACAUGCUCCCAAUUUCGAUUGCCUGUGAUUGCUUUGGGGGCUAGGAAGGGAACAUGUCAGAUCUCUGCCAAUAGCGAGCCUGAGUUAUCCGCGGACAGAAAGUUGUGAUUUCUCGCCUUUGGUAACAAGUGGUAACACCAGCAAGAACAGAAGCAGUCAAACUUUGUUUCCUACAACAACUGUUUCUGUCUGAGCUCCCAUGGGGGGUCUCCAGCAAAGGGCGAUCUUGAAGCCUCCUUCUCACUGGAAGCAGGAGGAAGAGCCCACGCCAGAGACUCCCUCAGAGCUUGUAGGAUUUGCUGUCCUCAUGGGGACAGCUUGGAAGGGCCUGGCACACCUACCCACACACACAGCAAUGGGACGAGCCUUGUUUCACGGGAAAUCUGGUCCACAUUCAGAUGACCUUCUUCUUGCUGAGGCUAAUUUCAAGACUGGGAGAUUCAAACCACAGAUUCUGGCAAGAACUACAGAGACCAGGAAACCUCAGCACC
Long non-coding RNA from Cairina moschata (Muscovy duck), 4674 nucleotides. The record is from Ensembl. Lineage: Eukaryota; Metazoa; Chordata; Aves; Anseriformes; Anatidae.